RNA transcript from Ochotona curzoniae (black-lipped pika), 771 nucleotides. It is a transcript of the gene named small nuclear ribonucleoprotein G-like, with no coding region annotated. Lineage: Eukaryota; Metazoa; Chordata; Mammalia; Lagomorpha; Ochotonidae. The transcript is spliced from 3 exons. The record is from RefSeq and is a predicted model, not a curated record.
AUACAGCCCAGUCGCCAUGGGGAUGGGCCGGGGCCUGUUCCGGUUGGUCCAGACCCCUCCAUCUGCCCCCGGGGAACCAUGAAGCGAGGGCGCCGAUUGGUGCAGGCGACAUGGGAUGAGGAACUGGGAUUGCUGCUGGAAAAGACUCCAUCACCGCCAAGCAUGGGCUGGGCAGAGCAGGUCUCUGGGCUGGGCACGUCCUGACAUUGUGGAUGAAAUUUCAGAGCUCAAGGCUGAGGACACAGCUGACCCUCUUCUCAGAAAACAGGUGGGGUCGAGCUGGAUUUGGUGACUUACUGGAAGCACUGUGACCGUUGAUGGCCAAGCUGGGCAGACGCCAGAAGGCGCACCCCGGAGUGCUGGGCAGCUGACUUGUCCUUGCACGCCUGCCAACUGUUCGCACAGAAAUCAUCUGAGAGGGCCGCACCUAGAGACCCUGUGAGACUUCAGUGUCUUUGUCAGUCUGUGCAGACUCAUUUUGUCGCACACACCCGCCCACAGGGAACUGCCUUGAGGCAGCGCCACCACAGCCGGACAAAUGGUGCCAUCCUCCUCCUGGCCCCUUGAAACAGCACAUUUACAUUCGAGCUUUGGGCAGGUGCCUCACCCUCCCCUCCCUGUCCCCACCUCCCUGGGGAAAUGCCCAGAUCAAACCAAUGCAACCAAUUUAUGCUGUGUCAUCUCGCUGUGGGGGUGGAAGGACAGAAAUCGGCGGAGAAGGGGUGAGUUUGAGGAAAGCUAGGAAUCUACAAGCAGAUUAAUGCGCUUAUC